GCAGCCCGUGUGAGGGAGCAGGCGGCACUGCUGGGGUGCCGUUCGGGUGCACGGGCGCCAAAAGCCCCUGUGGUGGCCACUGGGAGGUGACUAGGUGGGGACAGCCUCUCCACCGUGACUGUGUGGCACCAGCGCAGGGUCAGGGUGACUCCCACGCGAAAUGACCCAUGGCUGGGUGUCGAGCACACGUGUGCCCCAAGGUUUGCUGCUUUCUGAGAGCGUAGGUUGUUUUUUUCCCCCCUCAUUAGGCUGAUGGGGGGAUCUCUGGAGCCCCCUAGGACCAGCAGCAAGAGGGGCAGUGGGUGAUGGUGAGAUAUCAGGCUGGUGCUUGGGGAAAAAGGACCACGGACCCACCAGGGUCAGCAGCAGCUUAUUUAUUCAGCCUUAGAAAGACAGACAGCGGGCAUCACGGACAGAGUCCGCUACAGAAUAAAUACCCAGCGAAUACUGCCCUGGGUUAGCGCUGUUUGCUGAAGCGACCACCUCCUCUCUGGUGGCUUCAUGUGUGUGGACAGACCGGUGCUGCCCUGAGGGUCACGACUGGAGCAACCAAAUCUCAGAUAUCCUCUUGUUUUCUACCUAGCCCCCACCGAGGUGAACGUGCCCACUGAGGUGCUAUUCAGGCCAGGAAUUAUUUUCUUAGACUUGGAGAAUAACAUCAGAAACCGUGGCAUCAUGUGGAUACUACAGAGGAUUCGGGGCCAUUAGAGAUCAGGACAGUGGUUCUGCUUCUUGUCCACAUCUGGCAGCAGCUCAGGUCAUCCUCACCCUGGCUCACAGCACGCAGGA
RNAcentral lists this long non-coding RNA (789 nucleotides) under Columba livia (rock pigeon). RNAcentral describes it as "partial uncharacterized LOC102089492". The record is from RNAcentral. Lineage: Eukaryota; Metazoa; Chordata; Aves; Columbiformes; Columbidae.